This is a long non-coding RNA of Dalotia coriaria, 2365 nucleotides long. RefSeq lists it as uncharacterized. The record is from RefSeq and is a predicted model, not a curated record. NCBI's taxonomy places the organism in Eukaryota, Metazoa, Arthropoda, Insecta, Coleoptera, Staphylinidae. The transcript is spliced from 2 exons.
GGUGUGCGAAUGCGACGGUUCUGUCGCUCGAAAAGCUCGCAACGCUUUGGAAAGCAGCCAGACGCCGCCAGAGUCGUGACGCCGCGAGCCGCCAGCGGCAGUACGCGCGCGGCGCUCGCCGCCUUCGCGCGCGCUUUCGCCGCUCCCACAUACAAAUAUUCUACUCUCAAGAAGAUCGCGACGAUCACGUUGUCAAAAUACAAUUCAAAAUACAAAAUACGUAAACUUACAAAGUUAGGAAUUUCAUAAGAUAAUUAUGAUAAACUAAAACUUAUUUCAUUAAAAAUUAUUAUGAAAUUAUAAGCCUGGGAUAAUAAAAUUUGUUAAGAAAAAACAAGUUGAAGAAGACCUUCCAACGAUGGACAAAUGGUCCACGAAGGACAACGAAAUAAACAACAUCUUAAUUAAUAUGUAACAAGAAUAAUUCUAUCGUGAUCUGAUCGACAACGUUAUCAGAUGACUUCAUGGACUAGAUUCUCUUGGAUAAGUACUGGAACGCCGUUUGCUCACUUUGACCGACGUUGACCUUCGAGCAAACAGCGUUUUUUCUUCGUUUUGUCGCAAUCCACGAAGUAGUCUGUGAAGUUGCCUAUACUCGGCGUUUGGUUAUACGCUGUCGCGUCAUCCAACAUGUCCGCCGUCUUCUGAUCAAAGGCCGCGUUCAUUUGCGACGCGACGACGCGAAACUUGCGCUAAUUCGCUUUUCUAUGCCGCAGCACGUACUCGGUCAGAGCGGUAGCGUUUUCACCUCAUUUCCUCGUUUCCUCGUUUCGGCGUGGAUCGAUUAAUUUUCGCAAGGUGGACGAAACAUUUGUGUCGCGGUUUCGUGCACUUUCACACGUCGCUGAAAUCUUUCGAUAUUUUAUUCAACAUUAUGCUAAAGUUUGUACAUAUAAAAUAACUUAUCUAAAUAAAAUAACGAAAUAUUUCUUGAAACGAGAAAAUAACGAAAUUAAAAAUAAAAUAAAAAUCUAGGCUUUUAAUUUCACGAAAAAUAACACUUUGUUUUCGAAUUUGAAGUAAGUACUGUUAUUUUGUUUUAUAAUUAUUAUUAUAAACGUAUUGAUAGUCUCGGUUUAAAUUUUUGUGAUUUGUGAGAAAUAACCAUAAGCCACUUGAAAACCCUCUGAUAAAACUAAUGUAAAACGAUUUGUAGCGAUUUAACUUAACAAUAUUAUAUGAUUAGAGAGUAUUGACCGGUUCUAGACCACUUUCUUGCAUGUACGAUGCAAAAAAACAAGAAAUUGUAUUUUCAAUACGAAGGCAUUAAAGAAAAAACGUACAACAAAACGAAAAGCAAAGCAAUAACUUUGAUAAACGUCUGAAAUUUGUAGGUUAUGUACAAAUUGACACUAAGAAAACCAAAGAUAUACGUAACUAUAUGAUUAUCUAAAUGAAGAAACAUGUACGAGCAAAACAAAUAAAUGCUUUAUGAUAAAUCUGCAGUAAACGCAAAACUAGAUUAAGCUUUGACAUUUUGAUUAUGGUUGUAAAUUCGGUCGUCCAAGUCCAAGUCCAAAAACGGCCUACAUUUCUAUAAUAAAUUGACUAUAAAUAUGGAGCAAAAGAAGUUGCAUACGAUUGCAUGCGAAGAGUACGACGAGCCAAAUAACCAAAUAAGAUGCAACCAGUGCAAUUAUAUUCGCCAAUAACUCAAAUUAAUAGUCAUUUUCGGUGCCAACACAGUCUAACAAUGUAACUGCUUGUAUCGCAUACAAAAUGAGCGUUAAAACAAUAGAAGACAUGAUUAAACCCAUUAAAACUCUUCAAAAUAAAGCAAUGGUGUUUUUUCAAGGUCAUUUUAGUUUUAGUUUGAUUGUCACACAGACAGUAAGCUUCAAAAUUCUCGGAUUCAUAAAUACAUUCGGCUAGUGAGACUAUGAUAAAAUUAUAAAAGAAAUACUAAAAGCUAUGAAGAAAUAUUGAAGAUUAUUUAGCUGAGUAGCGUAUUUACUAGCGCCCUCUCUAUACACAGGGCCUAUAGCGGAUUUAGUGGCCUUUCAGUGACUAUAUUACAGUAUAUUAAAGCGUAACUUAAUAAAAUAUUUAAGAUUAUACGAAUAUUUACUGAAUCGAACACCAAAAAAGAAAAGUAGAGUACGUUUAAGGCUCAAAAUGGAGACUGUCAAAAUGUCAAACGUGUAAAAUAUGGACAGCUAAAGAAACUUUGAAGAAUCUUUGAAGAAAGGUUUUGUAAAAUGUAUUUAUUGAGAUUAAAAGGGCGCAGUUUAUGUCCGAGAUAUAAAAUAACACACACGCAUACAUAACCUACGAGUAUAUUCUUAUGAUGACAGUAAGAUUAUAAAUAUUAUGAAUUAUACUCUUUCUUCUUCUAUAUUGGAAUAAAAUGGUUUAAAAACUCAAA